GUGCUCACUUCAGCGGCACAUAUACUGAAAUCGGAAUGAUACAGAGAUUAGCAUGGCCCCUGCCUAAGGAUGACAUGCGAAUUUGUGAAGAGUUCCAUCUUUUU
Molecule: small nuclear RNA, 104 nt
Organism: Neomonachus schauinslandi (Hawaiian monk seal)
Lineage: Eukaryota; Metazoa; Chordata; Mammalia; Carnivora; Phocidae
Source: RefSeq, a predicted model, not a curated record